RNAcentral lists this ribosomal RNA (649 nucleotides) under Dromiciops bozinovici (Panchoss monito del monte). RNAcentral's name for it is "partial small subunit ribosomal RNA". Lineage: Eukaryota; Metazoa; Chordata; Mammalia; Microbiotheria; Microbiotheriidae. The record is from RNAcentral.
UUUCCGCUAACCGGUGAGAAUGCCCUUAAAAACUAUAAAAAGUUAAAAGGAGCUGGUAUCAGGCACACCCCRGGUAGCCCAUUACACCUUGCUUAACCACACCCCCACGGGAUACAGCAGUGACUAACAUUAAGCUAUAAACGAAAGUUUGACUGAGUCAUAAUUUAACAGGGUUGGUAAAUUUCGUGCCAGCCACCGCGGUCAUACGAUUAACCCAAAUUAACAGAUCACCGGCGUAAAGCGUGUUUAAGUAUAAUACUCUAAUAAAGUUAAAACCUAACUAAGCUGUAAAACGUUAUAGUUAAUACCAAAAUAUGCAACUAAAGUGACUUUAAUCUGCACUGAACACACGAUAGCUAAGGCACAAACUGGGAUUAGAUACCCCACUAUGCUUAGCCCUAAACCCAAAUAGUUAAAAAACAAAACUAUUCGCCAGGGAACUACUAGCUAAUGCUUAAAACUCAAAGGACUUGGSGGUGCCCUAAACCCACCUAGAGGAGCCUGUUCUAUAAUCGAUAAACCCCGAUAAACCCUACCUCUUCUUGCCAAUACAGCCUAUAUACCGCCAUCGUCAGCUCACCCCAAUAGGGAUCCAAAGUAGGCAAAAUUAUAAAACCAUAAAAACGUUAGGUCAAGGUGUAGCAUAUGA